This 500-nucleotide ribosomal RNA is filed under the name uncultured bacterium. RNAcentral describes it as "partial 16S ribosomal RNA". It matches the Rfam family "Bacterial small subunit ribosomal RNA", at positions 28 to 507 of the family's 1533-position model. The record is from RNAcentral.
GACGAACGCUGGCGGCGUGCCUAAUACAUGCAAGUCGAGCGGACUGAUUAAGAGCUUGCUCUUAUGACGUUAGCGGCGGACGGGUGAGUAACACGUGGGCAACCUGCCCUGUAGAUCGGGAUAACACCGAGAAAUCGGUGCUAAUACCGGGUAAUAUCUGAGAUCACAUGAUCUUAGGUUAAAAGAUGGCUCCGGCUAUCACUACAGGAUGGGCCCGCGGCGCAUUAGCUAGUUGGUAAGGUAAUGGCUUACCAAGGCGACGAUGCGUAGCCGACCUGAGAGGGUGAUCGGCCACACUGGGACUGAGACACGGCCCAGACUCCUACGGGAGGCAGCAGUAGGGAAUCUUCCGCAAGGGACGAAAGUCUGACGGAGCAACGCCGCGUGAGUGAUGAAGGGUUUCGGCUCGUAAAGCUCUGUUGUUAGGGAAGAAACAGUACCGAACGAACUAGGUCGGUACCUUGACGGUACCUAACCAGAAAGCCACGGCUAACUACGUG